Molecule: ribosomal RNA, 123 nt
Filed under: uncultured bacterium
Lineage: Bacteria
Description: partial 16S ribosomal RNA
Rfam family: Bacterial small subunit ribosomal RNA
Source: RNAcentral
CGGUGAAUACGUUCCCGGGCCUUGUACACACCGCCCGUCAAGCCAUGGAAGCCGGGGGUACCCAAAGCCAGUAUUCUAACCGCAAGGAGGAAACUGUUUAAGGUAAAACCGGUGACUGGGGCU